GACGAACGCUGGCGGCGUGCCUAAUACAUGCAAGUCGAACGCUUCUUUCCUCCCGAGUGCUUGCACUCAAUUGGAAAGAGGAGUGGCGGACGGGUGAGUAACACGUGGGUAACCUACCCAUCAGAGGGGGAUAACACUUGGAAACAGGUGCUAAUACCGCAUAACAGUUUAUGCCGCAUGGCAUAAGAGUGAAAGGCGCUUUCGGGUGUCGUUGAUGGAUGGACCCGCGGUGCAUUAGCUAGUUGGUGAGGUAACGGCUCACCAAGGCCACGAUGCAUAGGCGACCUGAGGGGGGGAACGGCCACCCGGGGACUGGAACCCGGCCCAGCCCCCUACGGGAGGAAGGCGGAGGGAAUCUUGGGAAAGGGACGAAAGUUUGACCGAGCAACGCCGGGGGAGUGAAGAAGGUUUUCGGAUCGGAAAACCCUGUUGUUAGAAAAGAACAAGGACGUUAGUAACUGAACGUCCCCGGACGGUAUCAAACAAGAAAGCCCCGGCUAACUACGG
RNAcentral lists this ribosomal RNA (507 nucleotides) under uncultured bacterium. RNAcentral's name for it is "partial 16S ribosomal RNA". It matches the Rfam family "Bacterial small subunit ribosomal RNA", at positions 28 to 506 of the family's 1533-position model. The record is from RNAcentral.